RNAcentral lists this ribosomal RNA (492 nucleotides) under uncultured bacterium. Its description in RNAcentral is "partial 16S ribosomal RNA". It matches the Rfam family "Bacterial small subunit ribosomal RNA", at positions 29 to 507 of the family's 1533-position model. The record is from RNAcentral.
AGUGAACGCUGGCGGUAGGCCUAACACAUGCAAGUCGAACGGCAGCACAGUAAGAGCUUGCUCUUACGGGUGGCGAGUGGCGGACGGGUGAGGAAUACAUCGGAAUCUACUUUUUCGUGGGGGAUAACGUAGGGAAACUUACGCUAAUACCGCAUACGACCUACGGGUGAAAGCAGGGGAUCUUCGGACCUUGCGCGAUUGAAUGAGCCGAUGUCGGAUUAGCUAGUUGGCGGGGUAAAGGCCCACCAAGGCGACGAUCCGUAGCUGGUCUGAGAGGAGGAUCAGCCACACUGGAACUGAGACACGGUCCAGACGCCUACGGGAGGCAGCAGUGGGGAAUAUUGGACAAUGGGCGCGAGCCUGAUCCAGCCAUACCGCGUGGGUGAAGAAGGCCUUCGGGUUGUAAAGCCCUUUUGUUGGGAAAGAAAAGCAGCAGGUUAAUACCCCGCUGUUCUGACGGUACCCAAAGAAUAAGCACCGGCUAACUUCGUG